Molecule: ribosomal RNA, 468 nt
Filed under: uncultured bacterium
Lineage: Bacteria
Description: partial 16S ribosomal RNA
Rfam family: Bacterial small subunit ribosomal RNA
Source: RNAcentral
GACGAACGCUGGCGGCGUGCUUAACACAUGCAAGUCGAACGGAAAGGCCCUGCUUAUGUGGGGUGCUCGAGGGGCGAACGGGUGAGUCACACGUGAGUAACCUGCCCUUGACUUUGGGAUAACUUCAGGAAACUGGGGCUAAUACCGGAUAGGAGUACCUGCGGCAUGGAGGAGGAUGGAAAGUUUCGGCGGUUGGGGAUGGACUUGCGGCUUAUCAGCUUGUUGGUGGGGUAGUGGCUUACCAAGGCUUUGACGGGUAGCCGGCCUGAGAGGGUGACCGGCCACAUUGGGACCGAGAUACCGCCCAGAAUCCUAAGGGAGGGAGGCGUGGGGAAUAUUGCACAAUGGGAGGAAGACUGAUGCCGAGACGCUGUGUGCGCGAUAACAGCCUUCUGGUUGUAAACCGCUUUCGCAUGUGACGAAGAGUGAGUGACGGUAAUGGCUAAAGAAGCACCGGCUAACUACGUG